GAUCAUUACCGAGUGUAGGGUUCCUAGCGAGCCCAACCUCCCACCCGUGUUUACUGUACCUUAGUUGCUUCGGCGGGCCCGCCAUUCAUGGCCGCCGGGGGCUCUCAGCCCCGGGCCCGCGCCCGCCGGAGACACCACGAACUCUGUCUGAUCUAGUGAAGUCUGAGUUGAUUGUAUCGCAAUCAGUUAAAACUUUCAACAAUGGAUCUCUUGGUUCCGGCAUCGAUGAAGAACGCAGCGAAAUGCGAUAACUAGUGUGAAUUGCAGAAUUCCGUGAAUCAUCGAGUCUUUGAACGCACAUUGCGCCCCCUGGUAUUCCGGGGGGCAUGCCUGUCCGAGCGUCAUUGCUGCCCAUCAAGCACGGCUUGUGUGUUGGGUCGUCGUCCCCUCUCCGGGGGGGACGGGCCCCAAAGGCAGCGGCGGCACCGCGUCCGAUCCUCGAGCGUAUGGGGCUUUGUCACCCGCUCUGUAGGCCCGGCCGGCGCUUGCCGAACGCAAAUC
Molecule: unclassified non-coding RNA, 501 nt
Filed under: Aspergillus flavus
Lineage: Eukaryota; Fungi; Ascomycota; Eurotiomycetes; Eurotiales; Aspergillaceae
Description: sequence contains 18S rRNA gene, ITS1, 5.8S rRNA gene, ITS2, 28S rRNA gene
Rfam family: 5.8S ribosomal RNA (bases 191-344)
Source: RNAcentral